CCUGUUUAUCAAAAACAUCUUUUCUUGUUAGUUUUUGAAGUAUGGCCUGCCCGCUGACAUUUGGUGUUGAAGGGCCGCGGUAUUUUGACCGUGCAAAGGUAGCAUAAUCAUUAGUUCUUUAAUUGUGAUCUGGAAUGAAUGGCUUGACGAGGCACGGGCUGUCUUAGUGUUGAAUGUUUUAUUGAAUUUGGUCUUUGAGUUAAAAUUCUUAGAUGUUUUUGUGGGACGAGAAGACCCUAUAGAGUUUGACAUUUGGUUUAUUUACUUGUUUGUUGUUUGUUUAUUUUUGGUGAGUGGGCUUUUUGUUUUGUUGGGGUGAUGGGAGGAAUGUACUUAACUCCUCUUAGUUUUGGUUAUAUUGAUUUAUAGUUGUUUGAUCCAUUUAUUUUGAUUGUAAGACUAAAUUACCUUAGGGAUAACAGCGUUAUCUUCCUUGAGAGUUCUUAUCGGCAGGGGGGUUUGCGACCUCGAUGUUGGAUUAAGGUGAAUUUUUGGUGUAGGGGCUGAAAUUGUAUUAGGUCUGUUCGACCUUUGGAAUC
RNAcentral lists this ribosomal RNA (539 nucleotides) under Coptotermes gestroi. Its description in RNAcentral is "partial 16S ribosomal RNA". It matches the Rfam family "Bacterial large subunit ribosomal RNA", at positions 1799 to 2595 of the family's 2925-position model. Lineage: Eukaryota; Metazoa; Arthropoda; Insecta; Blattodea; Rhinotermitidae. The record is from RNAcentral.